This 342-nucleotide long non-coding RNA is filed under the name Urocitellus parryii (Arctic ground squirrel). RNAcentral describes it as "lncRNA (ENSUPAG00010003171.1)". The record is from RNAcentral. Lineage: Eukaryota; Metazoa; Chordata; Mammalia; Rodentia; Sciuridae.
UCAGCUUCAUACAUUUUUCAUUCCAGGACCCCUGCUGAAGAAGCAGCAGCAAUCUGGGGAAUAUUCUCCUGGAAGAAUACAGAAAUAUAAGAGAGUUGGCAGGGAUGCAAACCAUCUCCUAAAAGUCUCUGCUCUGAACCAGUACACYGUUCCUUCUGUCAUAUUCCAUUCACCAAAGAAAUCUUACGCAUGACAGAUUUUUCAUCUUGCUGCUGCUACAUGAAGAAAAUUGGGCUUAAUCUGUCAGUCUUCCAGGCCAGAAGAGAGGAAAGGACUGAGUUUAGGUGAAGCUUGUCCUGUACAUCGGCCAACAGGCAGGGCUCCAGCUCUGCAGGGGAAAAG